RNAcentral lists this ribosomal RNA (498 nucleotides) under uncultured bacterium. RNAcentral's name for it is "partial 16S ribosomal RNA". It matches the Rfam family "Bacterial small subunit ribosomal RNA", at positions 27 to 507 of the family's 1533-position model. The record is from RNAcentral.
GGAUGAACGCUGGCGGCGUGCCUAAUCCAUGCAAGUCGAGCGAACAGAUGAGGAGCUUGCUCCUCUGACGUUAGCGGCGGACGGGUGAGUAACACGUGGAUAACCUACCUAUAAGACUGGGAUAACUUCGGGAAACCGGAGCUAAUACCGGAUAAUAUAUUUAACCGCAUGGUUCAAUAGUGAAAGACGGUUUUGCUGUCACUUAUAGAUGGAUCCGCGCCGCAUUAGCUAGUUGGUAAGGUAACGGCUUACCAAGGCAACGAUGCGUAGCCGACCUGAGAGGGUGAUCGGCCACACUGGAACUGAGACACGGUCCAGACUCCUACGGGAGGCAGCAGUAGGGAAUCUUCCGCAAUGGGCGAAAGCCUGACGGAGCAACGCCGCGUGAGUGAUGAAGGUCUUCGGAUCGUAAAACUCUGUUAUUAGGGAAGAACAAAUGUGUAAGUAACUAUGCACGUCUUGACGGUACCUAAUCAGAAAGCCACGGCUAACUACGUG